This 375-nucleotide ribosomal RNA is filed under the name uncultured organism. RNAcentral describes it as "partial 16S ribosomal RNA". It matches the Rfam family "Bacterial small subunit ribosomal RNA", at positions 527 to 896 of the family's 1533-position model. The record is from RNAcentral.
GUAGGUGGCAAGCGUUGUCCGGAAUUAUUGGGCGUAAAGCGCGCGCAGGCGGUCCUUUAAGUCUGAUGUGAAAGCCCACGGCUCAACCGUGGAGGGUCAUUGGAAACUGGGGGACUUGAGUACAGAAGAGGAAAGCGGAAUUCCAAGUGUAGCGGUGAAAUGCGUAGAGAUUUGGAGGAACACCAGUGGCGAAGGCGGCUUUCUGGUCUGUAACUGACGCUGAGGCGCGAAAGCGUGGGGAGCAAACAGGAUUAGAUACCCUGGUAGUCCACGCCGUAAACGAUGAGUGCUAAGUGUUAGGGGGUUUCCCGCCCCCCUUAGUGCUGCGGCUAACGCAUUAAGCACUCCGCCUGGGGGAGUACGGCCGCAAGGCUG